Sander lucioperca (pikeperch) is the source of this 2980-nucleotide RNA transcript. It is a transcript of the gene named TGF-beta activated kinase 1 (MAP3K7) binding protein 3, with no coding region annotated. The transcript has 8 exons. The record is from RefSeq and is a predicted model, not a curated record. NCBI's taxonomy places the organism in Eukaryota, Metazoa, Chordata, Actinopteri, Perciformes, Percidae.
GCGUCGAUCCAGCCAAUUUGAACAACUUCCUGGUCCGGGAAAAUCUGACAUUAUCGCGAUAGACAGCUUGUUCGUAUGCAAUUCAGCGGCAGGGGCCCAAUGCUGGAAUGCGAAACAAUAAGUUAUUUAGUCAAAACAAAUCAUUGACGAACCUCAGCGUACCAUUUCGGAAAUAUCAGCUCUCCUCGGGACUCAGCUAUGGUCCGAGACAUGAGGGAGACUCCUAACAUAUGGGGAUGAGACGGGAUCGAUUAUUUCAGCUUUCGCAGCUUUGGGCUCGUUGACUCUCUGUGUUGGCUCAGGAUGGCGCAGGGAGGGUCUCAGCCUGACUACCACAUCCUGCAGGACCUCAAACAGCUCUUCCCAGAGAUCCCAGAGGGGGUAGUGUCACAGUGCCUUCUGCAGAACAACAAUAACCUGGAUCUUUGCUGCCGCCUGCUGGCUCAGGAGAGUAAUAGAUACCUGUAUGGGGAGUUCCAUCACAGUCCAGAGGAGGGGCGAUUAAAUCGAAACCACAUGCUACACAUUAGCCUGGGAUACCCAGGCUCAGAGGCAAGCAAGGCAAAUGGAGGAGCAGCAGUAGGAGGACGCUCCCUUGUACACAGCACCAGUGACAGUCACAUCGAACCCCAGCGGCCCAGCUACCCUGAGCCACUGUCAGCCCCUGCCACCAUGGCCCCCUCCCCGGGUUAUAAUCCUUUCUUCAUGAAUGAACAGAGCCGCUCGGCUAGCACUCCCACUCCUCCACCCACAAUGCAGGGCAUGUCUCCCACAUACGCCCCUGUCCCACGUUACUCUAUGAACCCCAUAACAGUCACACUUCCGCAGCAAAGUAUACCUAAUGUCCCACAGGCUCUGCAGAUCCCCCCAGGGCACUACGCAAACACCAACACCACCCUGUAUAUUAGACCCUCACCUUCCCAGAGCCCACAGCCAGCACCCUGGUCCUCUUCAGGGGCGCCUGUGUAUCAGCAUCAGCAGUCCCCCUACAGUACUCCCACAUACGGCUCACCUUACAGCUCCCCGCAGCAUCAGGUUCAGCCCCAGCCACAGCCCCAGCCACAACCCCAGCACCAGCAAUAUGUCUUUCUCCCUAUUAGCUCCCCAACCCUUCCCAGCAUGCCCUACCAUCACCAGCAACAGCCCCAGGCACAGCCAGCUGUUUACAGGCCCUACCACACAAAAAGCUCCCUCAAGAAUCAGAUAGAGAUUACCCUGGAGGGUCCACGACCUCGCAGCAACUCACCUGUGCACACCCCACAUCCUCAGGGAGCAAUUUACAUGGCCACCAGCCCCUCGCCCAGCUCCCCCUCGAGGGGUAUCACUAUGACUGGACCUUCAGGCCCGGCAUCCUUCCACCCUGGGAUGUAUCUGCAGCAUCCGGGCCCUGCAAGACCUCGUCCUGCCUCCUCUCCUCAACCGGGCCAGUCAGCAUACACCUUUAAAAUCAAAGUGUCCCCAGGAGGCCAGCCCCAGAGGCCACUCAGCUCACCUCCUGUUGCCGAGGCAGAGUCUCUUCUCAACAUAGUAGACCAAGGGGAGCACAACGCUGCCCCUGCACCCAUCCUGCCCAUCUCCGCUCUGCCAGGGAACAUUGUCAGUCAGUUUCAGCAUAUGCCCCGACGUUCAAGCUCAGGGUCUGAUGACUAUGCCUAUACACAAGCUCUCCUGCUCCACCAGCGGGCCAGGAUGGAGCGUCUAAUGAAGGAGCUGCUACUGGAGAAGCAGAAACUAGAGAACCUGAAGGCCGAUGUCAACAAUAUGGAAUAUGACGCCCUUCAAAGACGCUUUCGACGAGUCAACUCCUCCAGUCUUAUACCCAGACCUGAAGAGAUGACCCGAUUGCGGAGUCUGAACAGACAGCUUCAGAUUGAUAUCGACUGUACCCUGAAGGAGACAGAUCUACUGCAGUCUAGAGGUUGGUCUACUCCGGCAAUGUACGGCCACAUACUUGCAGACUCUUUGCGGUUAGCGCAAAAUUCUCCUGUGUGGUACCUGGCUUGAUAAAGGAAGUUUGAUCCAAAUGCAAUGAACAACUUUUAUGACAACAUUCAGCCCGGUCCAGUUGUGCCACCCAAACCUGGAAAGAAAGAAGUGGAGCAGGUCCCCAAGCCAGUGCCGGGGCCCCAGAGGGACGAGGACUUUGAAGGUGCCCAGUGGAACUGUGAAAGCUGCACCUUCCUCAACCACCCUGCACUCAAUCGCUGUGAACAGUGCGAGAUGCCGCGCUACACCUGAGCUUAGCGCUGUGCUGUAUUGCCCACCCCUGCCCUAUCCCAUGCCAAUCCUUGGAUAGUAUAAGCCACACUCCUCCAAAAUCUGCAGAAUCUGUCUAGAGGUCUUCCUCUGUCGAUCAAUAUAUAAGCUCCUCUUACCUGCUGAGGAAGAGCCACUAUCCCUCUCUGCCCACUUGUCCUGCUCCCAUCUACUACUCCUGUGCACUUUGACUCUUUUUAAAUUGGAGGAGGAUGAUUCUUAUUCAGGACAGUUGGAGACUCUUCUCAUGGCAAAAGUAUAAAAGAGGGAGUGACAUGACACACUGCGACUCUGGCAGUUGGUGGGCCGCAGCUUCAGAAAGGUUGAAGCAAUUGAGGAGGACGAGGAGCUACGGUUUACCUAGAGAACAUUCCACGCAGAAACAGUGACUGCCCAGUUUACACAACCGCUCCCAUUCCUGAACUCAAAAUGGAGGCACUUCCACUUUAAUCUAGGACCUGUAACUCCCUCUCUUGACAGUGGAACAAUGAAAGCAAUGGUAUAUACAUUCUGACUAAUGCGAAAUGUAGACUGUACACUGUAUUAGGCUCUGUAUUAGAGCUAAUUUCACUGAAAGAUGAACACUAAAGACAUUUGCAUAGGAGUAUAUUCCUGGUACUUUUAUGCAUAUUGUGCCACCGUGUAUUAUGUGUUCAGAAGAUGUUAAUUUCCUGUGCAAAUGCCUCAACUUGCUGUAGUUAAUAAAGGAGCUGAUUCUAUGUGA